UUAUACCGUGAAACUGCGAAUGGCUCAUUAAAUCAGUUAUCGUUUAUUUGAUAGUACCUUACUACUUGGAUAACCGUGGUAAUUCUAGAGCUAAUACAUGCUAAAAACCCCAACUUCGGGAGGGGUGUAUUUAUUAGAUAAAAAACCAAUGCCCUUCGGGGCUCCUUGGUGAUUCAUGAUAACUUCUCAGAUCGCAUGGCUUUACGCCGGCGACGGUUCAUUCAAAUUUCUGCCCUAUCAACUUUCGAUGGUAAGGUAUUGGCUUACCAUGGUUUCAACGGGUAACGGGGAAUUAGGGUUCGAUUCCGGAGAGGGAGCCUGAGAAACGGCUACCACAUCCAAGGAAGGCAGCAGGCGCGCAAAUUACCCAAUUCCGAUACGGAGAGGUAGUGACAAUAAAUACUGAUACAGGGCUCUUUUGGGUCUUGUAAUUGGAAUGAGUACAAUUUAAACCUCUUAACGAGGAACAAUUGGAGGGCAAGUCUGGUGCCAGCAGCCGCGGUAAUUCCAGCUCCAAUAGCGUAUAUUAAAGUUGUUGCAGUUAAAAAGCUCGUAGUUGAACCUUUGGCCUGGCUGGCAGGUCCGCCUCACCGCGUGCACUUGUCCGGCCGGGCCUUUUCUUCUGGAGAACCGCAUGCCCUUCACUGGGUGUGUUGGGGACCAGGACUUUUACUUUGAAAAAAUUAGAGUGUUCAAAGCAGGCCUUUGCUCGAAUACGUUAGCAUGGAAUAAUAGAAUAGGACGUGCGGUCCUAUUUUGUUGGUUUCUAGGACCGCCGUAAUGAUUAAUAGGGACAGUCGGGGGCAUCAGUAUUCAAUUGUCAGAGGUGAAAUUCUUGGAUUUAUUGAAGACUAACUACUGCGAAAGCAUUUGCCAAGGAUGUUUUCAUUAAUCAGUGAACGAAAGUUAGGGGAUCGAAGACGAUCAGAUACCGUCGUAGUCUUAACCAUAAACUAUGCCGACUAGGGAUCGGGCGGUGUUUCUAUUGUGACCCGCUCGGCACCUUACGAGAAAUCAAAGU
This 1021-nucleotide ribosomal RNA is filed under the name Paraconiothyrium sp. RNAcentral describes it as "SSU rRNA". It matches the Rfam family "Eukaryotic small subunit ribosomal RNA", at positions 74 to 1104 of the family's 1831-position model. Lineage: Eukaryota; Fungi; Ascomycota; Dothideomycetes; Pleosporales; Didymosphaeriaceae. The record is from RNAcentral.